Molecule: long non-coding RNA, 2261 nt
Filed under: Homo sapiens (human)
Lineage: Eukaryota; Metazoa; Chordata; Mammalia; Primates; Hominidae
Description: HSALNT0357411
Source: RNAcentral
GACACCAUAGAGGUGGGCCUUUGGCGAGUCACAGGCGCGGGUGUUCGGCUACGUCACUGGGGCGCUACGGUGCCUGGAGCUGGGCAGUCUUCUCGUCAGAGUGGGGACUGGUAAGAGCGACCUCACCGCCAGGUCCUGUGUGUUGCCGGCUGAAGAAGGGUAGCUGAAAAAUUCAGACCCAGCACAGUGUUUAUGUUGGUCAAAAAUAGAAAACUAUGUCUGCCGCGGCCGAGGCAGGAGGACCCUUCAGGCCAAGAGCAGCCUAGCAACAUGGCGCAACCCCAUCUCUGUAGUCCUACCUCAGCCCCCCAGCUACUUGAACCCAAAGGUUCAAGGCUCCAGUGAGCUAUGAUCCCACCACAGCAUUCCAGCCUGCGAGAUUGAGAUGAUGAUUAUUCCCCACCUUCUAAGAGACAAAGACCAACGAUCCACCACAGCCACCAGUCCCAGAACCCGCCAAUGCUGGGGAAUGGAAAAUGAGGGAGUUCAACUCUGGCCCUCACAAUCCAGUGGAGGAGACGAAACUCAUCUGCCUCUGUCCCUCUGGGCACGCCUCAUGCCAGGUGCAUCUGUGGACAGGGGCCAUGCUCCUGGGCUUCCAAAGUUGGAGAAAGCUGCCAGGCUCAGGUCUGAAGGCCAGAAUUCUACAGUAAGUCCUACUGAGUCAAGGUGGGAGCAGGGUCGGUGGCUUCCGAGGCUCUGCGGGAGAAUCCGUUUCCUGGCCGUAGAGGUGGCCUGCACUCCUCAGCUUGUGCUGCCCGUCUCGAAUGACUGGAGUUUCCUGCUUCUGUCACUACACCUCCCACCCUCUCCAUCACCUGCUCUGCUCUUAUAAGGAUCCGAAGAAAUGGAAUCAUCGUAUCGCUGAUCUGCGUAAACAAAUUGAAGAAUUGUCUGAAAGAAAAUAUGACAUGAACUUAUGAAUUCAACAGGUAAAGAUUUACAACUUGAUAAAUCAACUUUGUGAGCUCGAGCUGUAAAAGCCAAAGGUCCAGUGAUGAUCCCAUACCCUUUUGUCCAGUCUCAUGUUGAAGAUUUUUAUGUAGAAGGCCUUCCCAAAGGAAUUUUUUUUUUUUUUUUGAGAUGGAGUUUUCACUCUUAUCGCCCAGGCUGGGGUGCAAUGGCGCAACCUUGCUGGUCACUGCAACCUCUGCCUCCUGGGUUCAAGAAAUUCUCUUGCCUUAGCCUCCCAAGUUGCUGGGAUUACAGGUGCCCACCACCACACCAGGCUAAUUUUUGUAUUUUUAGUGGAGAUGGGGUUUCACCAUGUUGGCCGGGCCAGUCUCGAACUCCUGACGUCAAGUGAUCUUCCCGCCUCGACUCCUGACAUCAAGUGAUCUUCCCACCUCGGCCUCCAAGAGUGCUGAGAUUACAGAUGUGAACCCAUGCCUGGCCAGGAAUUUUGUUUUUUAGGAAGGCUUUCUACUAAUGGAAUUCCUGGCCUUGAGAGGAUGUUACUUUCGAAGGAAAGGAUUUUUUUGUUAUUAAAAGAGCCACCUAAGCUGAAGAUUCCCUUGAGAACAAGUACUGUCCUGCGGUUUCAUGGCCUUUCUUCCAUUUGUGGUUCUUGUGAAGUGGAAUUUAAAUGACAUCAAGAUGGAUAAACCCUAGUUUCCCAGUGCUGGAAUAUAGAAAAUGGAUGGACAAGUAAAUCCCACUCAGCACCCAUAGUCCAGGCAUGGGGAUCUCAACACACCUGAGCCCCAGACAUCACCUUUCAUUCUGGACCUACCAUGAAAGACUUCUGAAUCCAGGAAGAGAAACUGACUGGGCAACAUGUUAUUCAGGCUGAUCUCUAACUCUUGGCCUCAAGCAGUCCUUCCUCUUUGGCCUCCCAAAAUGUUGGGAUUACAGAUGGGAGCCCCCAUACCCACCAAUCACAAGGAUCUUUAUAAGAGAAGGAGGUAGGAGAGUCAGAAUUAGAGAAAGUGAUGUGGUAAUGGAAGAAGAGGUCAGAGAGGGAGAUUUGAAGAUGCUGCACUUCUGGCCUUGAAUAUGGAGUCACGAGGUAAGUCAAGGAAUGGGGGUGGCUUCUAGAAGCUGGAAAAGGCAAAGGAGCACAUUCUGUCUAGAGCCUCCCCCAGAAGGAAUGCAGCCCCUCUGACACCUUGACUUCAGCCUUAAUAGACCUAGUUGGGCUUCUGGCCCCCAGAACUGUAAGAUGGUAGAUUUGUGGUGUUUGAUGCCACUGAAUGUAGGGUACUUUGUUGUAGUAACAACAAAAAAUGAACAUGAAGCUGGGACCUCAUGUUACAGUUGCU